GACGUAGGGCGCGAGCGUUGUCCGGAUUUAUUGGGCGUAAAGAGCUCGUAGGCGGUCAGUCGCGUCUGCUGUGAAAACUCGGGGCUUAACUCCGGGCCUGCAGUGGGUACGGGCUGACUAGAGUGCGGUAGGGGAGACUGGAAUUCCUGGUGUAGCGGUGAAAUGCGCAGAUAUCAGGAGGAACACCGGUGGCGAAGGCGGUUCUCUGGGCAUUACCUGACGCUGAGGAGCGAAAGUGUGGGGAGCGAACAGG
RNAcentral lists this ribosomal RNA (253 nucleotides) under uncultured bacterium. Its description in RNAcentral is "partial 16S ribosomal RNA". It matches the Rfam family "Bacterial small subunit ribosomal RNA", at positions 524 to 776 of the family's 1533-position model. The record is from RNAcentral.